RNAcentral lists this ribosomal RNA (510 nucleotides) under uncultured bacterium. Its description in RNAcentral is "partial 16S ribosomal RNA". It matches the Rfam family "Bacterial small subunit ribosomal RNA", at positions 28 to 507 of the family's 1533-position model. The record is from RNAcentral.
GACGAACGCUGGCGGCGUGCUUAACACAUGCAAGUCGAACGAAGAGCGAUGGAAUCUUGCUUCUAUCAAUCUUAGUGGCGAACGGGUGAGUAACGCGUAAUCAACCUGCCCUUCAGAGGGGGACAACAGUUGGAAACGACUGCUAAUACCGCAUACGAUCUAAUCUCGGCAUCGAGGAGAGAUGAAAGGUGGCCGCUACAUGUAAGCUAUCACUGAAGGAGGGGAUUGCGUCUGAUUAGCUAGUUGGAGGGGUAACGGCGCACCAAGGCGAUGAUCAGUAGCGGGCCUGAGAGGAUGAGCGGCGUCGCUGGGACGGAGAGAUGGCCCAGAAUCCUGCGGGAGGCAGAAGGGGCGGAUCUUUCGCAAUGGACGAAAGUCUGACGGAGCAACGCCGCGUGCGUGAUGACGGCCUUCGGGUUGUAAAGCUCUGUUAAUCGGGAGGAAAGGCAUUCUUGCGAAUAGUGAGAAGGAUUGACAGUACCGGAAGAGAAAGCCACGGCUAACUACGUG